This is a long non-coding RNA of Cyprinus carpio (common carp), 1318 nucleotides long. NCBI's taxonomy places the organism in Eukaryota, Metazoa, Chordata, Actinopteri, Cypriniformes, Cyprinidae. The record is from Ensembl.
GGUGCUCUGGCACCUCAGCAUGUUGGGCCUUCGGGUCAACUGGGAAAAGAGCAAACUCUCGCAGACACAGAGGAUCUCUUUUCUCGGUAUGGAGUUGGAUUCGGUCGCACAGACAGCACGCCUCACAGAGGAACGUGCGCGGUCGGUGCUAGCCUGCUUGAAUACGUUCGAGGGCAGGACAGCGGUCCCACUGAAACUUUUUCAGAGGCUCCUGGGGCAUAUGGCGGCCACAGCGGCACUUACACGCUCGGCCUGUUAGAUCUGGUCAGAUCUUGCGUUUCUCUGGGCAGGGGUGCCCCUAGAGCAGAUCUCCAGGCAUGCUGUGGUUUACACGGAUGCCUCCACCACCGGCUGGCGGGCCACGUACAACGGGCAUGCAGUCUCAGGGGUUUGGACGGGCCCGCAGCUGCAGUGGCACAUCAAUUGCCCGGAGUUGUUAGCAGUACACCUUGCCUUGAACCGUCUCAAAGGUUGCUUACGAGGCAAGCAUGUGCUGGUCCGAAUGGACAACACAGUGACCGUUGCGUACAUCAACCGACAAGGUGGUCUGCGCUCCCGUCGCAUGUCACAACUCGCCCGCCACCUCCUCCUUUGGAGUUGGAAGGUUCUGAGGUCACUUCGUGCCGUUCACAUUCCAGGCCUGCUCAACCGUACAGCCGACGAGCUGUCUCGAGCAAUGCUCCCAGGAGAAUGGCGACUCCAUCCCCUGACGGUCCAGCUGAUUUGGAGACGGUUCGGAGCCGCUCAGGUAGACCUGUUUGCUUCUCCAGAGACCGCUCACUGCCAGUUGUUCUACUCCCUGACCGAGGGAACUCUCGGCAGGGAUGCACUGGCACACAGCUGGCCGCAGGGCCUACGCAAAUAUGCGUUUCCCCCAGUGAGCCUUCUUGCACAGACACUGUGCAAAGUCCGGGAGGACGAGGAGCAAGUCUUGCUAGUGGCGCCGUAUUGGCCCACGCGGACCUGGUUCCCCGAACUGGUGCUCCUCGCGACAGCCGAUUGCAGAUUCCUCUGAGGAAGGAUCUACUGAGCCAAAGUUUAUUUCAUUGAAAACUCUGCUCCUGUUUGCACUGGCCUCCAUCAAUAGGGUAGGGGACCUGCAUGCAUUUUCGGUCUACGAUUCGUGCCUAGAGUUUGGGCCGGCUGACUCCCAGGUAAUCCUGAGGCCCCGGGCCGGCUACGUGCCCAAGGUUCCCACUACACCCUUCAAAGACCAUGGGUGAACCUGCAAGCGCUGCCCCUAAAGGAGGCAGACCCAGCCCUGGCUUUGCUCUGUUCCUUCCGAGCAUUGAGAUGCUACGUAGACCGGACACAAAGC